GAAGGGACCUAGCGUAGUUCGGAAUUACUGGGCUUAAAGAGCUCGUAGGUGGUUAGAAAAGUUAAUGGUGAAAUCCCAAGGCUUAACCUUGGAACUGCCAUUAAAACUUUUUAACUAGAGUAUGAUAGAGGUAAGCGGAAUUUCUAGUGUAGGGGUGAAAUUCGUAGAUAUUAGAAAGAACACCAAUUGCGAAGGCAGCUUUCUGGAUCAUUACUGACACUGAGGAGCGAAAGCAUGGGUAGCGAAGAGGAUUAGAUACCCUCGUAGUCCAUGCCGUAAACGAUGUGUGCUAGACGUUGGAAAUUUAGUUUUCAGUGUCGCAGCAAAAGCGUUAAGCACACCGCCUGGGGAGUACGACCGCAAGGUUAAAACUCAAAUGAAUUGACGGGGACCCGCACAAGUAGUGGAGCAUGUGGUUUAAUUCGAAGAUACGCGCAGAACCUUACCAACACUUGACAUGUUCGUCGCGACUCUAAGAGAUUAGAGUUUUCGGUUCGGCCGGACGAAACACAGGUGCUGCAUGGCUGUCGUCAGCUCGUGUCGUGAGAUGUUGGGUUAAGUCCCGCAACGAGCGCAACCCUUACUUUUAGUUGCGACCAUUUAGUUGAGCACUCUAA
RNAcentral lists this ribosomal RNA (617 nucleotides) under uncultured Alphaproteobacteria bacterium. RNAcentral's name for it is "bacterial SSU rRNA". It matches the Rfam family "Bacterial small subunit ribosomal RNA", at positions 527 to 1143 of the family's 1533-position model. The record is from RNAcentral. Lineage: Bacteria; Pseudomonadati; Pseudomonadota; Alphaproteobacteria.